Long non-coding RNA from Dromaius novaehollandiae (emu), 3148 nucleotides. RefSeq lists it as uncharacterized. The transcript is spliced from 2 exons. The record is from RefSeq and is a predicted model, not a curated record. NCBI's taxonomy places the organism in Eukaryota, Metazoa, Chordata, Aves, Casuariiformes, Dromaiidae.
GUUUCUGGGCCCUGCUGUUGCUAGUUUGCUGCUUGACCUCAAGGAUUUUGCCUGUCCUGGCUAGGAUAGUUGUAUUUUGGUCCUUUCUCACUGUGGCUGUUAAGGGUCCUGUGAGCAGCAGGGAAGUGUUUAACUUCGCUUUGGUUUGAGGGAGUUGCCAGUGGCAAGGGGCGAAUGGACAAGGUCUCCUUGGCCAUAGGAGAAGGGUAGGAUGGAGCGGUGGAGUGGGCACUUCAAAUUUAUCACCUACCAGUUGGCUAGAGGUUGGUUUGCAAGCAGGAGGAGCCCAGGAACCGGGGGGAUGAACAUCCACACUGACGAGGUGUUUUGGCGGCCCCCGUUUUACCUGUAACUGGCAGAGUGAGGCCACCUGGAUGCUUGCCCCGCUUCCCAGGAGAUUUUGCAGGCCUGUGCUGCAGCAGCGCACUGAGCAGGGCUGUGCUGGGAGAUGCGCAUCCAUCGUGCGCUAACAGAGGAGAAAUGGUGCCUCUCCUGGUUUGCCGCUUCCUUGUCAGGCUUAGCUGGGCACUCAGCCCCUUCAGACAGCAGAUGUGGAGCAGUUGAAGGGGGCUCUGCGAGUCUCAAGGACAAGCUCCUGCCUUUUCUUCCCACCCUGAAACAAUUGCCUAUUUCUGCUCUAUUUCUUUCUGUAAGGGACAUUUAUAAUGUAUGACAUUUAGGCACACAAGGAAAGUGGAAACAUAAAUUAGUUUCUUCCAAUUACCGCAAAAUUACCCUUGCCCAGUUGUCUGCUUUGAACUGAUACAGCUACUAAAUUAGAAAGAGUGACCUGGGUCUUUUCUAUUUGUGGUGCUGGAGUUUCUGACCUAGCAAGCUUGUUACAGCCCACUGUGCCCAAUCUAUCAUAGAAUAAAACAAGUGAUGGUAAAAGGCAUGGGAUCAGAACCGUGAAUUUUCUUGUUUUUAAGAAAAUACUGCGUUACCUUCUCCAUCCAUGAGCCGCUCUGCAUCAAGCUGAGUGCUGAGCAAGAACAUGCGAAUGGCCAUGCUGGGUUUCACCAAGGACUUGUCCAGCCCUAGCAACUUUGAGUCAAAGCCCUGUGGAAGAGCAGGAACAGGACAAGCACGAUGCCUGCCAAAGGGCUUCCUUGGCAUCCAGCUAUUUUCCAUUCAGGGUCUUACUGAGCUGGGUGUGGAUUUGUGGUAUUUUGUAUUUAAAACGUAUUAUUGUUUUGCCUGUUUUGCCUUGACUUCUUAUUGAUGUCCAGCUUGUCUGUAGUUUCAUUCUGCUGUCAGAGUAUUUGGAUUUUUGUGAUUAAUCUGCACGCAGCGCAUGUGAAAGUUAUCCCCUUGGGUGUUUAGGAGCUGAGGCCCGAUACAGAUGAGGGAAAUGGAGUUAGAGGUGCGGGAAAGAGCUGUUCUGCUUUCCUUCUCAAAAAUGUUAUGGCAUGGGCAAGAAGCCGUCCCACUGACAUCCUUCGGCCUUGACCUGGAGAGGCCCUUGUGAGUCAGAAUUAUAAGCGCCAAGCCUCGCAGUUUCUGGUCGUGAGGAAUUCUGAAUAUUUAUACUGCAGGGAGGUGAGGAGUUGACACUGUGUGCAGCUGAGGGCAAGCAGAUGAUCACGUUUACGCGUGCAUAAUGCACGUGCAGGGUUGGGAAAGGAAGCUGACUGCCUGCCCUUGGCAGCGCUGCUCUCUGCCAGCCAUGGUCAGAAAGCAGCGCCUUGGUUAGUGCUGCAGCCAGGCUGGGACAUGGCCACUGAGUGCCACAGCCCCCUCACUUGAUCCCAGGAGACUUCACAGCAUCUCAUCUGUGGGAGCUUUCUGCGCCUUGUCAUCGGUGCUGCUCUGAAGCCAGAGAAGCUGUGCAGGUGGAGACGCAGGGUGUGAAACCACAGACAGCAAGCUGCCUCCCAGGACCUGAAUUUGGGGUAGCCUACUGGUCAGAGACCCAGACAAAAGGGGAAUGAGGAGUCCUCACCUUCAAGCUGAGCAUCCAUGUAGUUCUGUGCAACGAGGAGAGAAAAAAAGGGACAACCUCAAACGUGGGCAACUAAGGCACAUGUUGGCUGGAUUUAAUUCGCAGCUUCCUGGUCUUUGCUUAGCAGGAGUUUUUGCAGAUACGGAAACAGUGGCAGGUGCUCCUUGGGAUGCUUGGUGCCACUGGGUGCAGACUCUGGCGCACAGGUUCCACAGUGCUUGUCACUGUGACAUGAGACUGGCAGCAUCCUGGACCCCAAUUUACAACAGGUACCUCCAAUCCGGUGUGGCUUCCUCCCCAACUGCUGUGGUUUGCUAUUCAUGAGGACGUUACUGCCGCUGCGAAGCUGCUGCUCAAUGUCACUGUGAGAGCGUGGACAAAGUACUGGUAUCGUUAGCAGGCAGAUGACACCUACAGUAGUCAAAGCAGUUUUAAUCUGUUUUUGCUCACUUGUGAUGUUUCAGAGCCUGGUGGGCUUUUCUUGUACGAGAAGGUUUUUGGCUUUUUGGGAGAUGUUCAAAAAAGUCCUUCCAACUGUUUUUGAGUAAAAAUUGCAGCUGUUCUUUUGUUGUUGUUAAAAGACUUUAAGUGUGCUUUUAGAGACAUUAUUGCAGUAAAAAUAUUGACUAUGAAAUCUGCCUUGAUUGCAGAUCUUCUUGAAGGGUUCUCCCUUUGCUUGGUGAUCGUGGUGCAAAAGAAGAAUGUUGCAAACAUAAAUGUGAUCACCCGCUUACCAACGUGAAAGCUGCUUGCUCUCAGCCAGCUGAGUGCAUAUCUGCUUCAGGCAUGCAUAGGAGGGGUUUUUUACAUGUAUUUCUUCACGUGGCAUCUUCUGGGCAGAGGUAUACCCAUAUGCCAAUACCAAAUCAAUCAAAAGCAGCGUUGUUAAGCUCGCGUAUCGGCCAAGUGCUGCAGAAUAUGGACUAUACCGUGUAGGCAUGUACUGUGUGUCAUAUCAAAUGUGAAGAUGCAGGCAUGCCAGUUACGAACAAAGGAACCUCCGAAGUGCUGCUAGCAGAGCUCUGCUUCCUUUGCUAUGUCACUAAAAUGGGCGUAACAGCUUUCUGUGGCAUGGUGAGGCUUACUGAAUGUCUACGUGAAAGAUAAUACAGGAUUAAAUAAUAAUUCCAUUUCAGAUCUUGUUGAGGGACUGCGCGUAUGUCAUCUAAAAUUUUUACACUUGGAAUAAAAAUUAUUUACACCACU